Non-coding RNA from Quaeritorhiza haematococci, 72 nucleotides. The record is from the annotation of a GenBank genome assembly. NCBI's taxonomy places the organism in Eukaryota, Fungi, Chytridiomycota, Chytridiomycetes, Quaeritorhizaceae.
GCUCCGAUGGUGUAGUGGUAUCACAUGUGCUUCACACGCACAGGGUCCUCAGUUCGAACCUGAGUCGGAGCA